Molecule: small RNA, 152 nt
Filed under: Halalkalibacterium halodurans
Lineage: Bacteria; Bacillati; Bacillota; Bacilli; Caryophanales; Bacillaceae
Also listed under: 1 other name
Description: Bacillus halodurans c-di-AMP sequence
Rfam family: c-di-AMP riboswitch aptamer (ydaO/yuaA leader)
About the family: This family represents a conserved RNA structure found upstream of the ydaO and yuaA genes in Bacillus subtilis and related genes in other bacteria. The ydaO/yuaA element is thought to act as a genetic "off" switch for the ydaO and yuaA genes in its native state.
Source: RNAcentral
CACCUUUAAUCGCUGAAUCUCUAUUGAGAGCGGGGGAACCAUACCUGACAGAGUUGUUUCUGUCUUGGGGUGAAUCUUAUGUUUUUUAUAAGAAGGGAUACUCUCCAUCCCUAAUCCGACAGCUAACCUCGUAAGCGUUGAUUCGAGAGAGG